Non-coding RNA from Triticum urartu, 130 nucleotides. The record is from Rfam. NCBI's taxonomy places the organism in Eukaryota, Viridiplantae, Streptophyta, Magnoliopsida, Poales, Poaceae.
UUUGUACUCCCUCCGUUCCAAAUUACUCCGUUUCAAAUUACUCGUCGCAGAAAUGGAUGUAUCUAGAACUAAAAUACAUCUAGAUACAUCCAUACCUGCGACAAGUAAUUCGGAACGGAGGGAGUAGUUU